UGUCAUGAUGAGGUAAUUUGCGAUUGAUACCUUUCGGUGGCUCUCUCGCCGGAGUAGCUAUACCGAUCGGAUAUUUGAUAUUUAAUUCUUACAUAUUCUGAAC
This 103-nucleotide small nucleolar RNA is filed under the name Ustilaginoidea virens. RNAcentral describes it as "A. fumigatus snoRNA Afu_514". It matches the Rfam family "A. fumigatus snoRNA Afu_514". Lineage: Eukaryota; Fungi; Ascomycota; Sordariomycetes; Hypocreales; Clavicipitaceae. The record is from Rfam by way of RNAcentral.